This 517-nucleotide ribosomal RNA is filed under the name Dicronocephalus wallichii bourgoini. Its description in RNAcentral is "partial 16S ribosomal RNA". It matches the Rfam family "Bacterial large subunit ribosomal RNA", at positions 1816 to 2602 of the family's 2925-position model. Lineage: Eukaryota; Metazoa; Arthropoda; Insecta; Coleoptera; Scarabaeidae. The record is from RNAcentral.
CAUGUCUUUUUGAUUAUAAUUUAAAGUCUGACCUGCCCAAUGAGGAGUUGAAUGGCCGCGGUAUUUUGACCGUGCAAAGGUAGCAUAAUCAUUAGUUUUUUAAUUGAAAGCUGGUAUGAAUGGUUGGACGAGAAAGUAACUGUCUCAAGUUAAUUUGAAUUAGAACUUUAUUUUUAAGUAAGAAAGCUUAAAUGAUUUUAAAAGACGAGAAGACCCUAUAGAGUUUUAUAUUUCUUUAUAUAGGAUUAAUUUAGUUAUUAGGCAUUUCUAUAUAAAGGGGUAUUUUGUUGGGGUGACAGAAAAAUUAAAGUAACUUUUUCUUACUAGUAACAUUAAUUUAUGAUUCAUUGAUCCGUAUAUUACGAUUAUAAGAUUAAAUUACCUUAGGGAUAACAGCGUAAUUUUUUUUGAGAGUUCAUAUCGAAAAAAGAGUUUGCGACCUCGAUGUUGGAUUAAAAUUAACUUUUGGUGCAGGAGCUAAAAGGUUAGGUCUGUUCGACCUUUAAAAUUUUACAUG